RNAcentral lists this ribosomal RNA (278 nucleotides) under Rickettsia sp. genotype talgarensis. Its description in RNAcentral is "partial large subunit ribosomal RNA". Lineage: Bacteria; Pseudomonadati; Pseudomonadota; Alphaproteobacteria; Rickettsiales; Rickettsiaceae. The record is from RNAcentral.
AGUAAUGUGUGUAGCUAACCGAUACUAAUAGCUCGAUUGAUUUACUUUGCUGUGAGAAUACAUAUGCAUAUAGUGUUAAUUCUAUAAGAAUGUAGUAUCAACUCACAAAGUUAUCAGGUUUAUAUAGCUUUAUCAAUGAAUAAAGAUGUUGUUAUAUAACUCAAUUUGUCAUAGGCUUUGACCACAAAUAUCCAGUAAAAAUUACUUUACUGAGUAUCGUAGUAAAUGGUGUCAAGACUUUUUUAGAGCUGUACAACAACAUUAACAGCAGGCUAAUA